ACCAUGCAAGUCGAGGGGUAACGGAAGUAGCUUGCUACUAGACGACGACCGGCGCACGGGUGAGUAACGCGUAUGUAAUCUGCCCUGUACAGAGGGAUAGCCCAGAGAAAUUUGGAUUAAUACCUCAUAGUAUUACCGAAUCGCAUGAUUUGGUAAUUAAAGCUCCGGCGGUACAAGAUGAACAUGCGUGACAUUAGCUAGUUGGUAAGGUAACGGCUUACCAAGGCAACGAUGUCUAGGGGUUCUGAGAGGAUGAUCCCCCACACUGGUACUGAGACACGGACCAGACUCCUACGGGAGGCAGCAGUGAGGAAUAUUGGUCAAUGGACGCAAGUCUGAACCAGCCAUCCCGCGCGAAGGAAUGACUGCCCUAUGGGUUGUAACUUCUUUUAUAUGCAAUAAACCUACUUUCGUGAAAGUAGCUGAAGGUAGCAUAUGAAUAAACACCGGCUAACUCCGUGCCAGCAGCCGCGGUAAUACCGAGGGUGUAAGCGUUAUCCGGAUUUAUUGGGUUUAAAGGGUACGUAGGCGGUAAUAAAAGUCAGUGGUGAAUCCUGGGCUCA
Molecule: ribosomal RNA, 563 nt
Filed under: uncultured bacterium
Lineage: Bacteria
Description: bacterial SSU rRNA
Rfam family: Bacterial small subunit ribosomal RNA
Source: RNAcentral